Molecule: transfer RNA, 77 nt
Filed under: Luteolibacter yonseiensis
Lineage: Bacteria; Pseudomonadati; Verrucomicrobiota; Verrucomicrobiia; Verrucomicrobiales; Verrucomicrobiaceae
Also listed under: 22 other names
Description: tRNA-Ile
Rfam family: tRNA
About the family: Transfer RNA (tRNA) molecules are approximately 80 nucleotides in length. Their secondary structure includes four short double-helical elements and three loops (D, anti-codon, and T loops).
Source: RNAcentral
GGGCCUGUAGCUCAGUUGGUUAGAGCACCGCCUUGAUAAGGCGGGGGUCAUAGGUUCGAGUCCUAUCAGGCCCACCA